Molecule: ribosomal RNA, 429 nt
Filed under: uncultured archaeon
Lineage: Archaea
Description: bacterial SSU rRNA
Rfam family: Archaeal small subunit ribosomal RNA
Source: RNAcentral
UACCUGCAGCUCGAGUGGUAACCGUUAUUAUUGGGCCUAAAGCGUCCGUAGCCGGUUUGGUAAAUAUCUGGGUAAAUCGUGAGGCUUAACUUCACGAAUUUCGGAUAGACUGCCAGACUUGGGAUCGGGGGAGGUCAGAGGUACUCCAGGGGUAGCGGUGAAAUGUUGUAAUCCUUGGAGGACCACCGGUAGCGAAGGCGUCUGACUAGAACGAGUCCGACGGUGAGGGACGAAGCCCUGGGGCGCAGACCGGAUUAGAUACCCGGGUAGUCCAGGGUGUAAACGAUGUGGGCUUUGUAUUGGAGGUCCCACGUGGGCGUCCAGUGCAGAAGAGAAGUUGUUAAGCCCACCGCCUGGGAAGUACGGUCGCAAGGCUGAAACUUAAAGGAAUUGGCGGGGGAGCACAGCAACGGGAGGAGCGUGCGGUUU